RNAcentral lists this ribosomal RNA (97 nucleotides) under uncultured archaeon. RNAcentral's name for it is "partial 16S ribosomal RNA". The record is from RNAcentral.
AAACUUUGCUAAUGUGCGAAAGCUACGACAAGGUUAAUCCGAGUGAUUUGUGCUAAACGAAUCUUUUGUUAGUCCUAGAACCWCUAACGAAUAAGGG